GAUGAAGACGUAGCGAAAUGCGAUAAGUAAUGUGAAUUGCAGAAUUCAGUGAAUCAUCGAAUCUUUGAACGCACAUUGCGCCCGCCAGUAUUCUGGCGGGCAUGCCUGUCCGAGCGUCAUUUCAACCCUCGAACCCCUCCGGGGGGUCGGCGUUGGGGACCUCGGGAGCCCCUAAGACGGGAUCCCGGCCCCGAAAUACAGUGGCGGUCUCGCCGCAGCCUCUCCUGCGCAGUAGUUUGCACAACUCGCACCGGGAGCGCGGCGCGUCCACGUCCGUAAAACACCCAACUUCUGAAAUGUUGACCUCGGAUCAGGUAGGAAUACCCGCUGAACUUAAGCAUAUCAAUAAGCGGAGGA
RNAcentral lists this unclassified non-coding RNA (357 nucleotides) under soil metagenome. RNAcentral describes it as "partial contains 5.8S ribosomal RNA, internal transcribed spacer 2, and large subunit ribosomal RNA". The stretch from base 1 to 119 matches the Rfam family "5.8S ribosomal RNA", at positions 35 to 154 of the family's 154-position model. The record is from RNAcentral.